Gorilla gorilla gorilla (western lowland gorilla) is the source of this 125-nucleotide small nuclear RNA. The record is from Ensembl. Lineage: Eukaryota; Metazoa; Chordata; Mammalia; Primates; Hominidae.
GUGCUGUAUGGAGGGAAAGAAGGUUGGCAUUCCCCUUGACAGGGAUGGAAGAGGCCCUCAGGCCUGACAACACACACAGGGUUAAGGUGCUCCCACCUACUUCUGGCGUCUAACCCUCGUUUUUU